This 300-nucleotide unclassified non-coding RNA is filed under the name uncultured Saitozyma. RNAcentral describes it as "sequence contains 5.8S rRNA gene, ITS2". The stretch from base 1 to 77 matches the Rfam family "5.8S ribosomal RNA", at positions 76 to 154 of the family's 154-position model. Lineage: Eukaryota; Fungi; Basidiomycota; Tremellomycetes; Tremellales; Trimorphomycetaceae. The record is from RNAcentral.
AGACAUGUGAGUCAUCGAAUCUUUGAACGCACCUUGCGCCCUCUGGUAUUCCGGAGGGCAUGCCUGUUUGAGUGUCAUGUAGACUCAAUCCCUCGGGUUUCCGAGGAGAUUGGACUUGGGUGUUGCCGCUUCUGCCGGCUCACCUUAAAAGACUUAGCGGGAUAGCACCGUAGUCGGCGUAAUAAGUUUCGUCGGUGAAGGUUGUGAUGACUGCUUACAAUCGCCCUCGGGCAAUUUUUGACUCUGACCUCAAAUCAGGUAGGACUACCCGCUGAACUUAAGCAUAUCAAUAAGCGGAGG